UUGUAGAGGUGUGCAUAUGAAAUCAAGAUA
RNAcentral lists this non-coding RNA (30 nucleotides) under Rattus norvegicus (Norway rat). Lineage: Eukaryota; Metazoa; Chordata; Mammalia; Rodentia; Muridae. The record is from RNAcentral.